This 491-nucleotide ribosomal RNA is filed under the name uncultured bacterium. RNAcentral's name for it is "partial 16S ribosomal RNA". It matches the Rfam family "Bacterial small subunit ribosomal RNA", at positions 29 to 507 of the family's 1533-position model. The record is from RNAcentral.
AGUGAACGCUGGCGGUAGGCCUAGCACAUGCAAGUCGAACGGCAGCACAGUAAGAGCUUGCUCUUACGGGUGGCGAGUGGCGGACGGGUGAGGAAUACAUCGGAAUCUACUUUUUCGUGGGGAUAACGUAGGGAAACUUACGCUAAUACCGCAUACGACCUACGGGUGAAAGCAGGGGAUCUUCGGACCUUGCGCGAUUGAAUGAGCCGAUGUCGGAUUAGCUAGUUGGCGGGGUAAAGGCCCACCAAGGCGACGAUCCGUAGCUGGUCUGAGAGGAUGAUCAGCCACACUGGAACUGAGACACGGUCCAGACUCCUACGGGAGGCAGCAGUGGGGAAUAUUGGACAAUGGGCGCAAGCCUGAUCCAGCCAUACCGCGUGGGUGAAGAAGGCCUUCGGGUUGUAAAGCCCUUUUGUUGGGAAAGAAAAGCAGCAGGUUAAUACCCCGCUGUUCUGACGGUACCCAAAGAAUAAGCACCGGCUAACUUCGUG